AUGGCGUCGUCCUCUGGUUCAUCGUACUCAGACGGAGGGCGCCGUCGUAGGGCACCAUCCAGGUCGCCGGUGCCCUAUCGAGAGGACCCGAUGGCGUACCAGUCGUCGAGGCCAUGCUACUGCAAGCCGCCGAAAAAGGCAGCCCGUUGGAUUUCCUGGAGCGACAAAAAUCCUGGAAGAAGAUACUAUUGCUGCAUGCUCAGGAUUACCGAUGGCAUGGCUAGAACAGGGGAGGAGAAGUGGAGCAGAGGCUGUACUGGCACAACAAAUUCAUGA
RNAcentral lists this ribosomal RNA (276 nucleotides) under Triticum aestivum (bread wheat). RNAcentral describes it as "partial small subunit ribosomal RNA". Lineage: Eukaryota; Viridiplantae; Streptophyta; Magnoliopsida; Poales; Poaceae. The record is from RNAcentral.